CCUACGGGUGGCUGCAGUGGGGAAUUUUGGACAAUGGGCGCAAGCCUGAUCCAGCAAUGCCGCGUGAGUGAAGAAGGCCCUUGGGUUGUAAAGCUCUUUCGGUCGGGAAGAAGGAAGGAUGGCUAAUACCCAUUCUGACAGACGGUACCGGCAUAAGAAGCACCGGCUAACUACGUGCCAGCAGCCGCGGUAAUACGUAGGGUGCAAGCGUUAAUCGGAAUGACUGGGCGUAAAGGGUGUGUAGGCGGUUUAUUAAGUCUGAUGUGAAAGCCCCG
RNAcentral lists this ribosomal RNA (275 nucleotides) under uncultured bacterium. RNAcentral's name for it is "partial 16S ribosomal RNA". It matches the Rfam family "Bacterial small subunit ribosomal RNA", at positions 338 to 605 of the family's 1533-position model. The record is from RNAcentral.